RNAcentral lists this unclassified non-coding RNA (302 nucleotides) under Melitaea cinxia (Glanville fritillary). Its description in RNAcentral is "misc RNA ENSMCXG00005020022.1". Lineage: Eukaryota; Metazoa; Arthropoda; Insecta; Lepidoptera; Nymphalidae. The record is from RNAcentral.
UUUAUUUUAUUUUUUAUUUUUAUUUUAUGUUAUUAAAUAACACUUGCUUCAAUGGUGAAGGAAAAGUUCUCGAAAGUAUGUGAAGUCCAUCAAUUCGCAUUGGGCCAGCGUGAUAGACUGUAAUAUUCUGAGAGGAGACCUGCGCUAAGUAGUGAGCCAUUGAUAGGUUGCUGACGAUGAUGAUGGUGAUGAUGAUCUUUAUCAAAAAUCUUUUUUAAUUGUUUUAAGAAUCUUCCAAGCUUAGCGUACAUUUACCUUUUCAAUUCACUCUUGGAUGUUUCUAAAAACACAAAAUUAUCUAA